This 300-nucleotide ribosomal RNA is filed under the name uncultured Alteromonadales bacterium. RNAcentral describes it as "bacterial SSU rRNA". It matches the Rfam family "Bacterial small subunit ribosomal RNA", at positions 114 to 415 of the family's 1533-position model. The record is from RNAcentral. Lineage: Bacteria; Pseudomonadati; Pseudomonadota; Gammaproteobacteria; Alteromonadales.
CGCGUAGGAAUCUACCUGGUAGUGGGGGACAACUUGGGGAAACCCAAGCUAAUACCGCAUACGCCCUAUGGGGGAAAGGCGGGGGACCGUUCGGGCCUCGCGCUAUCAGAUGAGCCUGCGUAGGAUUAGCUUGUUGGUGAGGUAAAGGCUCACCAAGGCGACGAUCCUUAGCUGGUCUGAGAGGAUGAUCAGCCACACUGGGACUGAGACACAGCCCAGACUCCUACGGGAGGCAGCAGUGGGGAAUAUUGCGCAAUGGGGGCAACCCUGACGCAGCCAUGCCGCGUGUGUGAAGAAGGC